CGUAGGUGAACCUGCGGCGGGAUCAUUACUGAGUUUACGCUCUACAACCCUUUGUGAACAUACCUACAACUGUUGCUUCGGCGGGUAGGGUCUCCGCGACCCUCCCGGCCUCCCGCCUCCGGGCGGGUCGGCGCCCGCCGGAGGAUAACCAAACUCUGAUUUAACGACGUUUCUUCUGAGUGGUACAAGCAAAUAAUCAAAACUUUUAACAACGGAUCUCUUGGUUCUGGCAUCGAUGAAGAACGCAGCGAAAUGCGAUAAGUAAUGUGAAUUGCAGAAUUCAGUGAAUCAUCGAAUCUUUGAACGCACAUUGCGCCCGCCAGCAUUCUGGCGGGCAUGCCUGUUCGAGCGUCAUUUCAACCCUCAAGCUCAGCUUGGUGUUGGGGCCCUACAGCCGAUGUAGGCCCUCAAAGGUAGUGGCGGACCCUCCCGGAGCCUCCUUUGCGUAGUAACUUUACGUCUCGCACUGGGAUCCGGAGGGACUCUUGCCGUAAAACCCCCCAAUUUUCCAAAGGUUGACCUCGGAUCAGGUAGGAAUACCCGCUGAACUUAAGCAUAUCA
This 561-nucleotide ribosomal RNA is filed under the name Colletotrichum gloeosporioides. Its description in RNAcentral is "eukaryotic LSU rRNA". The stretch from base 201 to 354 matches the Rfam family "5.8S ribosomal RNA". The record is from RNAcentral. Lineage: Eukaryota; Fungi; Ascomycota; Sordariomycetes; Glomerellales; Glomerellaceae.